GCGGACGUGGUGGAAUUGGUAGACACAUGGGACUUAAAAUCCCCCGCCUUUACCGGUGUACGGGUUCGAGUCCCGUCGUCCGCACCA
Molecule: transfer RNA, 87 nt
Filed under: Lichenifustis flavocetrariae
Lineage: Bacteria; Pseudomonadati; Pseudomonadota; Alphaproteobacteria; Hyphomicrobiales; Lichenihabitantaceae
Description: tRNA-Leu
Rfam family: tRNA
About the family: Transfer RNA (tRNA) molecules are approximately 80 nucleotides in length.
Source: RNAcentral